This 83-nucleotide microRNA precursor is filed under the name Bombyx mori (domestic silkworm). RNAcentral describes it as "mir-2807 microRNA precursor family". It matches the Rfam family "mir-2807 microRNA precursor family". Lineage: Eukaryota; Metazoa; Arthropoda; Insecta; Lepidoptera; Bombycidae. The record is from Rfam by way of RNAcentral.
UUAACUCAAAUUGUAUGGAGUUGGAACGUUUGCUUACCUUUGCCGCUAGGGGCGCUGUUCUAACUGCAUACAAAUUUGAGUUA